Molecule: unclassified non-coding RNA, 448 nt
Filed under: Hevea brasiliensis (rubber tree)
Lineage: Eukaryota; Viridiplantae; Streptophyta; Magnoliopsida; Malpighiales; Euphorbiaceae
Source: RNAcentral
GCAGUAGCAAGAGAACCAACAGGAAAGCUUCCACUGGUGUAAUAACCUGCUCAGCAGAGGACUCACAGACUAUUGUGAUUGGUCUAGCAGCAGACUCUGGGUGUGGCAAGAGUACCUUCAUGAGGAGGCUAACUAGCGUGUUUGCUGGUGCAGCAGAGCCACCAAAAGGAGGCAAUCCUGAUUCAAACACACUCAUAAGUGACACAACUACUGUGAUAUGUUUAGAUGAUUAUCACUCACUGGAUAGGACAGGAAGAAAGGAAAAAGGGGUAACAGCACUUGACCCAAGAGCCAAUAAUUUUGAUCUCAUGUAUGAGCAAGUUAAAGCUCUUAAAGAUGGGAAAGCUGUUGAGAAACCUAUUUACAAUCAUGUCACUGGUCUCCUGGAUCCUCCUGAGCUCAUCAAGCCUCCUAAGAUUCUUGUUAUUGAAGGUCUUCACCCAAUGUU